This is a long non-coding RNA of Solanum pennellii, 569 nucleotides long. RefSeq lists it as uncharacterized. The transcript is spliced from 3 exons. Lineage: Eukaryota; Viridiplantae; Streptophyta; Magnoliopsida; Solanales; Solanaceae. The record is from RefSeq and is a predicted model, not a curated record.
CUUAAGAACACGUUUUCAUCUAGAACUGAAGAACCCAUUUGCAAGAACUGAAGAAGAGGAUCGAAGAACGGAAGAAAUCGAUUUUCGUCACAUUUCUAUCAAACUUCAGCUGAAGAACACAAUUUUCAGCUGAAAAAUCGAAGAGCAAUAUGAUUUCUCUAAAGACGAACUGAAGAAUACCAUUUUCCUCUCAGAGCUUCGUUGUUCAUGAUUUGAGAGCUGAACAAGCUGAUUUUCUUCAAUGAUUCUUUGGUGAACUGUUGUUCCGUCUGAUUUUAUUUUGAGAAUUGAAAGAAAAUGCUUCACAAAUCAACUUGCCUCAUGUCUUAAAGCUUUAGGGUUGUUGGAAUAAAGUUUAUUAGAAGCUGAAGCUAAGUCAAAAGUAUAUGAAGAACUGAGUUGUAGCUAACUCAUCUUUUUUCGAAGAACUGCGGUGUUGAAGCUAGCGAUACCUAUGAUAUUUUGUCUGUAAUAUAGAUUUCGUCAAGUAAGUAUCAUCACCAUUUAAAAACAUUUGUGGAGUAUUCAAGGAUUGAUUUGUCAUAGCAAAAGUGUCAUGACUAGGUAAG